CAUGCAUUUGGUAAAAAGUCAAAACACUUGAGACCCUUGACAGUUGACUAACUUCUCUUAGUGACAAUGGCAGAUAAAGCUAUGUUAGGAGGAUGGGGCGAGACAGUGGACGCUACUGAGGAAACUCAGAAGAUUUGUGAUGCGGUGAAGGGUCAAGUGGAGAAAGAAACCGGCAAAAAGUAUGCGGUGUACAAGGCAGUGCAUUUCAAGAAACAACUUGUGGAAGGACAAAACCUCAGCAUAAAGGUCUUUGUUGGAGAGGAGGACUACAUUCAUCAGAGGGUUGUCUGUCCACUUCCUGGUAAAGGAGGAAAGGUUCAGCUGGACCACGUUGAAGUGGGAAAAACCAAAGACGACAUCGUCUGCAUGUGUUAACGUUGACAUGACCUUUUCAACAGUGUAAUACUUAAAGGCAGCAGUCUGAUAUUAAAAUGCUCUUCUUCUUUAUCCUGAAAUGAUUAAACAAUGAUUUUGAAUCUGUCACACAGAGAUACAGAUAUUUGGUGUUGGGUAGCAGCAAGUUGAACGCAUUCCUUUUAAAUAAAUAAUAAAGAAAGCAUUACAAAUCUCAAAA
Molecule: RNA transcript, 574 nt
Organism: Trematomus bernacchii (emerald rockcod)
Lineage: Eukaryota; Metazoa; Chordata; Actinopteri; Perciformes; Nototheniidae
Gene name: cystatin-B-like
Exons: 4
Source: RefSeq, a predicted model, not a curated record